RNAcentral lists this transfer RNA (70 nucleotides) under Beta vulgaris subsp. vulgaris (sugar beet). It matches the Rfam family "tRNA". Rfam says of the family: Transfer RNA (tRNA) molecules are approximately 80 nucleotides in length. Their secondary structure includes four short double-helical elements and three loops (D, anti-codon, and T loops). Further hydrogen bonds mediate the characteristic L-shaped molecular structure. tRNAs have two regions of fundamental functional importance: the anti-codon, which is responsible for specific mRNA codon recognition, and the 3' end, to which the tRNAs corresponding amino acid is attached (by aminoacyl-tRNA synthetases). tRNAs cope with the degeneracy of the genetic code in two manners: having more than one tRNA (with a specific anti-codon) for a particular amino acid; and 'wobble' base-pairing, i.e. permitting non-standard base-pairing at the 3rd anti-codon position. The record is from Rfam by way of RNAcentral. Lineage: Eukaryota; Viridiplantae; Streptophyta; Magnoliopsida; Caryophyllales; Amaranthaceae.
CUUGUAAUAGCAUAAUGGUAAUGUACCUACUUCAAGUAGGAUGAUCUAGGUUCAACUCCUGGUUAAAGUA